UACGGAGGGGGCUAGCGUUGUUCGGAAUUACUGGGCGUAAAGCGCGCGUAGGCGGCCUUGUAAGUUAGAGGUGAAAGCCCAGGGCUCAACCCUGGAAUUGCCUUUAAGACUGCAUCGCUUGAACAUCGGAGAGGUAAGUGGAAUUCCGAGUGUAGAGGUGAAAUUCGUAGAUAUUCGGAAGAACACCAGUGGCGAAGGCGACUUACUGGACGAUUGUUGACGCUGAGGUGCGAAAGCGUGGGGAGCAAACAGG
RNAcentral lists this ribosomal RNA (253 nucleotides) under uncultured bacterium. RNAcentral's name for it is "partial 16S ribosomal RNA". It matches the Rfam family "Bacterial small subunit ribosomal RNA", at positions 524 to 776 of the family's 1533-position model. The record is from RNAcentral.